Molecule: ribosomal RNA, 253 nt
Filed under: uncultured bacterium
Lineage: Bacteria
Description: partial 16S ribosomal RNA
Rfam family: Bacterial small subunit ribosomal RNA
Source: RNAcentral
UACGUAGGGUGCAAGCGUUAAUCGGAAUUACUGGGCGUAAAGCGUGCGCAGGCGGUUUUGUAAGUUUGUCGUGAAAGCCCCGGGCUCAACCUGGGAAUUGCAUUCGAGACUGAAUAGCUAGGGUACGGUAGAGGGAAGCGGAAUUUCCGGUGUAGCGGUGAAAUGCGUAGAUAUCGGAAGGAACAUCAGUGGCGAAAGCGGCUUCCUGGACCAGUACCGACGUUCAGGCACGAAAGCGUGGGGAGCAAACAGG